This 318-nucleotide ribosomal RNA is filed under the name uncultured bacterium. RNAcentral's name for it is "bacterial SSU rRNA". It matches the Rfam family "Bacterial small subunit ribosomal RNA", at positions 28 to 351 of the family's 1533-position model. The record is from RNAcentral.
GAUGAACGCUGGCGGCGUGCUUAACACAUGCAAGUCGAACGGGCAUAUCUUUCGGGGUAUGUUAGUGGCAGACGGGUGCGUAACACGUAGGUGACCUGCCUCGAAGUGGGGAAUAACUAUCCUAACGGAUGGCUAAUACCGCAUGUGCUCGAAGAUUCGGUUUUUCGAGUAAAGGCGUAAGUCGCUUCGAGAUGGGCCUGCGGCGGAUUAGGUAGUUGGUGGGGUAACGGCCUACCAAGCCGAUGAUCCGUAGGGGGCGUGAGAGCGUGGCCCCCCACACUGGCACUGAGACACGGGCCAGACUCCUACGGGAGGCUG